RNAcentral lists this ribosomal RNA (460 nucleotides) under uncultured Methylomirabilota bacterium. RNAcentral's name for it is "bacterial SSU rRNA". It matches the Rfam family "Bacterial small subunit ribosomal RNA", at positions 976 to 1434 of the family's 1533-position model. The record is from RNAcentral. Lineage: Bacteria; Methylomirabilota (SeqCode).
UGGGCUUGACAUCCCACGAACCUGCUGAAAGACAGGAGUGCCCGCAAGGGAGCGCGGAGACAGGUGGUGCAUGGCUGUCGUCAGCUCGUGUCGUGAGAUGUUGGGUUAAGUCCCGCAACGAGCGCAACCCUCACCCCUUGUUGCUACCAGGUAAAGCUGGGCACUCUAGGGGAACUGCCCCGGUCAACGGGGAGGAAGGCGGGGAUGACGUCAAGUCAUCAUGCCCCUUACGUCCUGGGCUACACACGUGCUACAAUGGCCGGUACAAAGGGAUGCCACACCGCGAGGUAGAGCUAAACCCAAAAAGCCGGUCUAAGUUCAGAUUGGAGUCUGCAACUCGACUCCAUGAAGGAGGAAUCGCUAGUAAUCGCGUAUCAGCACGACGCGGUGAAUACGUUCCCGGGCCUUGUACACACCGCCCGUCACACCACGAAAGCCAGCUGUACUCGAAGUCGCUGAG